Molecule: unclassified non-coding RNA, 372 nt
Filed under: uncultured Cryomorphaceae bacterium
Lineage: Bacteria; Pseudomonadati; Bacteroidota; Flavobacteriia; Flavobacteriales; Cryomorphaceae
Description: contains 16S-23S intergenic spacer region
Source: RNAcentral
UCACAGCUUGCGCUGGCAGUUUUCCUAGAGUCCCCGGCAUUAUCCGCUGGCAACUAAGAAUAGGGGUUGCGCUCGUUAUAGGACUUAACCUGACACCUCACGGCACGAGCUGACGACAACCAUGCAGCACCUCGCAAAUUGCCCGAAGGAGGGCUGGUUUCCCAGCCUGUCAAAAUGCGUUCAAGCCCUGGUAAGGUUCCUCGCGUAUCAUCGAAUUAAACCACAUGCUCCACCGCUUGUGCGGGCCCCCGUCAAUUCCUUUGAGUUUCAAUCUUGCGAUCGUACUCCCCAGGUGGAUCACUAAACACUUUCGCUUGGUCACUGACAGUAUAUCGCCAAUGACGAGUGAUCAUCGUUUACGGCGUGGACUAC